GGGGCCGAGCGCGGGGGGGAGCGGGGCCGGGAGCCGGCGACAGAGAGAGAGAGAGGAGGGGUUAAAUCCUCCCCCCCACCCCCCCCCCCCAACCCCGCUUCUACAAUCACAUCUGCCAGCCAGAUCGCCCCCCUCCCCCUCGAGGAAACACCACCAAGGGACCCCACGGAGGACCGCGCCCCCCCCGCGCCCCCUCCUCCGCGGCCACCCCCGGCCCCCCCGCCCCCCCACGCCUCCUCCUCCUCCUCCUCCCCCCCGCCGCCCCCGCCCCAACUUUUUUUCUUGCAUGAUUUCCCUCGCACGGAUUUGCCACUCGGAUGUUGUUUCCUCGGGAGCUGAGCUCGGAGCCACGUUGAACCAGCCUUUUCCUCCAGUGCUAUGACAGGCAAACUACUGGAGAAGCUGCCGGGGACCAUGAACACUUUGAUGAACCAAUUGCCUGACAAUCUGUACCCAGAGGAGAUCCCCAACUCUUUGAAUAUCUUCUCCAGCACCAGCGACUCGGUGGCUCACUACAACCAGAUGGCUGCAGAUAAUGUUAUGGACAUUGGCUUAGCGAACGAAAAGGCCGGUCAGGAAUUGUCCUCCUACUCGGGCACUUUUCAACCCGCCCCGGGCAACAAGACUGUCACCUACCUGGGGAAAUUCGCUUUCGACUCGCCCUCCAACUGGUGCCAGGACAACAUCAUCAGCCUGAUGAGCGCCGGCAUCCUGGGGGUGCCGCCGUCCUCGGGCGCGCUCACCAGCACGCAGAGCUCGGCGGGCAGCAUGGGGCCGCCGCAGGGCGAGGUGGACCAGAUGUACCCCGCGCUGCCGCCCUACUCCUCCUGCAGUGACCUCUACCCAGAGCCCGUCUCCUUCCACGACCCCCAGAGCAACCCCGGCCUCACCUACUCCCCCCAGGAUUACCAGGCGGCCAAGCCCGCCUUGGACAGCAACCUCUUCCCCAUGAUCCCAGACUAUAACCUCUACCACCACCCCAACGACAUGGGCACCAUCACGGAGCACAAACCCUUCCAGAGCUUGGACCCCAUCCGCGUCAACCCGCCCCCCAUCACCCCGCUGGAGACCAUCAAGGCCUUCAAGGACAAGCAGAUCCACCCGGGUUUCGGGGGGCUGCCGCAGCCGCCCCUCACCCUCAAGCCCAUCCGACCCCGCAAGUACCCCAACCGGCCCAGCAAGACGCCGCUCCACGAGCGGCCCCACGCCUGCCCCGCCGAGGGCUGCGACCGCCGCUUCUCCCGCUCCGACGAGCUCACCCGCCACCUCCGCAUCCACACGGGCCACAAGCCCUUCCAGUGCCGCAUCUGCAUGCGGAGCUUCAGCCGCAGCGACCACCUCACCACCCACAUCCGCACCCACACCGGCGAGAAGCCCUUCGCCUGCGAGUUCUGCGGCCGCAAGUUCGCCCGCUCCGACGAGCGCAAGCGGCACGCCAAGAUCCACCUCAAGCAGAAGGAGAAGAAGGCCGAGAAGGGCUCGGGCGGGCAGCCCCCCGCCGCGCCCCCCACCGCCGCCGCCGCCACCACCUCGCCCCCCGUCGCCCUCGCCCCCGCCGUCACCACGUGCGCUUGAGGGACCGUGGGGGGCGGCGCGGUGGCACCCCCUUCUCCUCCCCUUGCCCUCUCGGCGCCGCUCCGGGGGGAACCCCCGCGGUGUUCAGGAUACCCCGGGGUUGUGCUGCGACGGGUCCGCGCCCGGAUUGAGCGGGUCCAGGCUGCCCGCACCCGGAUCCUGCCUGCACUUGGAUCGACGGGACCCGCACUGCCCGCACCCGGAUUGCCCGGACUUGCGCUGCCCGCGCCGGGGCUGCCCGCACCACCUGGAUCCCGGCUGCCUGCUCCCGCACCUCCCAGAUCCCGGCUGCUUCCACCCGCACCGCCCGGGGCCGGGGCCGCCCGCACUGCCUGGAUCCCGGCCUCCUGCUCCCGCAGCUCCCGGAUCCCGGCUGCUCACACCCGCACUGCCCGGGGCUGGGCUGCCCACACACGGCUCACCCGGAUCCCUGCUGCCCGCACCCUCUUCCCGGAUCCCUGCUCCCACACCUGGAUUACCUGAACCUCCUGGAUCCCGGCUGGAUUGCCCAGUCCUGGCUCUCCCAGCUCCAGCUCUCCCACACCCCACCACCCGCACCCUGCUCCUCCCGGGGACAUCCCGCCCGCACCCUCCCGGCCCGGCUCCGGGCUGCCCGGGCGGUGAAUCCCGGGAAUCCCCGCUAACCCACAUCCCAGGGCUCGGUUCCGAGCCGCCCGCUCCCCCCGGGGGCUGGGUGCUCCAGGAUCGGCCCCCCCACCACCUCCUCCCUGGUCCCGACCCGCCCGGCUCCUCCGGGGGCUGGGGACUCCAGGAUCCGUGUGGGGAUGGAUGGAUGGACGGACGGACGGAUGGACGGAAGGAUGGAUGGAAGGAGCCGAUCCCUCACCGGGCCUGGAGCCCCCGUUGUCCCCCCCAUCCCCGUGUCCCCCCCGUGCCCCCCAAGCACCGGCUCCCCGUGGUGGAGAAGGGAAAUUCUUUACAGAAAUGCAGAAAAAAAGCACCCCAGUAUUUUGCUGAAUACUUUUUAUAAUGUGAGAUAUUUUUAUUUUAUUUUAUUUGGUCACUUUAAAACAACCACCCAACUACGGAGGAGAAAAAUCAAUUAGUCCUCUAUUUUAUUUUUUUUUCUUUUUUUUCUUUCUCCUUCUGGUAUGUGCAUGUCAUUGCAUGACUGCUCUGAUUUUUUUCUUCUUUUGUUUUAAUAAAACUGUGCUCAGACAUUUAAGCUAAACUAAGCAAAAAUAAUAAUGACUUAAAAAGAAAAAAAAAUCUUUGUUGCCAAAAGGUCGUGCUAUCCAGGUUUGAUGUCUGCAUGUGAAAAAAAAAAACUACAAAAAAACACAUUAAAAACAUACAAAAAAUAAAGAGAAGAGGAAGAAUGCAGUCUAAUUUAUGUGAACUGAAAGGAACAAAAAAAAAAAAAACAAAAAACAAACAAACCACAAUCAGGUUUAACCACACAAACCUAAGGGAAUGAUAUUUUUUGAAAGACUUUUGUAUAAAGUUGAGUACUUAGAGAAAAAAAAAUCAUACCAGAUGUAAUAUAUUUUGUGGAUGUUUUUAUUUCUUGGAUUUAUAGUACCUUAUACUAAGGUUAAAAAAAAAAAUUAUGCUUGAUAUUGUGAAAAGGUGACAAUUUUCACACACAUUUCAUUUGCUCAUUUGUCAUGUUGUAAUGCAAAUAUGAUAGUUAAUGCAUACAGCAUUUUUAAGGGAAAAAAUCAGAAAUAUUGAACUGAUGUAUUGUUGUACCAUUUGCACUGUGAGCAAAUGCUAAUGCAGUAAAUAUAUUGUGUUUGCUGACAAUCAAAA
This is an RNA transcript of Neopelma chrysocephalum (saffron-crested tyrant-manakin), 3348 nucleotides long. It is a transcript of the gene named early growth response 3, with no coding region annotated. NCBI's taxonomy places the organism in Eukaryota, Metazoa, Chordata, Aves, Passeriformes, Pipridae. The record is from RefSeq and is a predicted model, not a curated record. The transcript is spliced from 3 exons.